ACCCUGUGAGCAUUGACAGAGUGCUCCCUGCUAGCUCCGUGGCUGUCAAAACAACAGUCAAGAUUGCUCCAGUGCAGGGGUGUAGUGGUCCAGAGACAUUCCUGGAAGGAUAAGGGUGAGAAGCAGGAGGCAGCCUGGACAGCACAGUGGUCCAUUGCAGGACAGUGCGACACAAGUGUCCUCCAAGUGCUCCGGUUUCCUCCCACAGUCAAGAGACAUGCGUUGGGCACCAUCACAGUGGCAGCCUGAGUGGAUUUCCACACGAGCAUCAAUGAAGUACGAUGAUGGCAAUGAUGACAAUGACAGUGCUAAUGGUGGUGGUGAUGAUGAUGAUGAUUAUUACAUUUACUACGCACUCGGUGACUGACACGUUUAUGCACUAUGGGAAAUGUUGAUUACUCAUCAGUUUGCAUAUUUGGACCAUGGGAAGAAAAUGGAGCUCGUGGAGGAGGCCUACAUGAACAUAGGGGGAAGCGCCACACGGACUGAGCUGAAUUCGAACAUGUCCAAACCCACAGCCGAUUAGCCGUGGGCCACCAGUGCUGCCCUCUGCACCUCCGUGGCACCCGGUUUGAACCGGUUUAUGUUAAUUAACGGGCGCUUUCGUUCCUAAUGAGCUGGUUCUAAGAGAAGUAAGAAGUAAAAGUAAUGCUGACAGCUUUGUAUGUUUUAAAAACGCCUAACUUUAAUAUUAUAAACAGCAGGGCACAAGUAUGAGAAUUUUGUGGUGUUGAAAAAAGGCACAUAAUCAUCUUUAUUUAGCACUGCCAGCCGUUGCAGAAACUUUGUGGCUGAUGAUGACACAGAGCUCUGUGUAAUGACGAAAUUCUUUCAUGCUUGUAGCUGCCGUGCCAGCGCCAGUGCAGGGUAUGUCGGGAGACGAUGGUGAGGCGGGUUCGCACUUUGCCCCGCGGACCCCGGCCUCGGCAGCCUCUCCUCCUGAGUUCACCCACCAGGCCAUCGUGCGCCUGAUCGAGGCGGUGGGUCGACGCUGGGACAUGUAUGGCUCACGCGAACGCACCCGCCUCUUCCACAGCGUCCAGCAGGAGCUGGCGGAGCAGGGCCAUGCGCUGCCCAUGGAGAGGAUCCGCCGCAAGUGGAACAACCUUGUUGUCACCUACAAGCGGGUGAAGGACCGGUGCCGUGAGACAGGCCAGGCCAAGACCUCGUGGGAAUACUACGAGAUGCUGGACACUAUGUUGGGGAAGACCAUUGGUGCUCAGGCCGCUACUGCAGCUUCAGCAACGCUGGUCGGCAUGACAACCACCACCAAGGCCACAUCAUCUGUAGAGCUGCCAUCAUCCAGUCAUACGGUGGCGGCGGCUGCCAAGCCCUGCGUGUUCGCUAGCAGCCUCAUGGCUACGUCCACCCCGAUCCCCACGCUGGUGCAGUCCGUGAUCCCGUCGGUGCCGGCUACCCCCAACACCGUCUCCAGCCCUCUGGGAAACGCUGACGCUCACCAUCCCCGGCGUGCAGCAGGACCAAGCCGGCUGCGCGUGGGACCCAGGCUGCGAAUCGGCCCCUCUGGCUCGGCCGCCUCUUUCUCGGCGCAGCAGAAUGGCCCGGCAGCAAAGCGCACCACUCUGCUGCGUAGCUUCCUGUCCUCCCAGGAGGAGCGGGCGCAACUAGAGGAGGAGCGGCUGCAGAGGGCGGAGGCCCGCGAGAAGAGGAGGGAGAAGAGGGAGAUCCGGAUGGCCGAUGCCUUGGGCCGUAUGGCCGCAGCGCUGGAGCUGGUCUCCUCCAAACAGGACACCAUCAUCGCUCUGCUGCAAAGGGUUGCCGACAAGCAGUGAUACGUGAGCAGAGCAUCGCUAAGGCCACUGGGACAACGAGCCAAUGUACCUGCACAGGUGAAGCUCACAGUGAUUUCUGAGUGAACCAGAGAACCAGUUACUUCACAGAGUAAUUUUAAUGUGAGUAGUAAUUUGAAUUUUAGUUUAAGAGACCACCUCAAGGGUGACUGUCUCUGCUGCUCCAAGUGGCUGCAGGUCGCCGUGGCUACAGAAGUCACCCGAUCGAUGGCUGGCGCUCCAAACGCUCUGUGAAUAUGUGCUAAUAUAGCACUCUCUUUGUGAAACACCACCUGUGUGACGUACGAAUAAUGUUUAUGUUUAAUGGUAAGGUCAACGUUUAGUAGUUCCUGUUAAAGAAAAGUAUCGUUUUGCUUUUCUCACUUUGUCUUUUGGUUUAUAGAAUGAUGUGUAAAUAAAAUGUUCUUCAGUAAAAAAUAAUUUUCUAUU
This 2240-nucleotide long non-coding RNA is filed under the name Scleropages formosus (Asian bonytongue). Its description in RNAcentral is "lncRNA (ENSSFOG00015025134.1)". Lineage: Eukaryota; Metazoa; Chordata; Actinopteri; Osteoglossiformes; Osteoglossidae. The record is from RNAcentral.